GCCCGGGUGGCGGAAUUGGCAGACGCACGGGACUUAAAAUCCCGAGGCCCUUAAAGCCGUGUGGGUUCAAUUCCCACCCCGGGCACCA
RNAcentral lists this transfer RNA (88 nucleotides) under Deltaproteobacteria bacterium. Its description in RNAcentral is "tRNA-Leu". It matches the Rfam family "tRNA". Rfam says of the family: Transfer RNA (tRNA) molecules are approximately 80 nucleotides in length. The record is from RNAcentral. Lineage: Bacteria; Pseudomonadati; Myxococcota; Myxococcia.